Long non-coding RNA from Amblyraja radiata (thorny skate), 272 nucleotides. RefSeq lists it as uncharacterized. NCBI's taxonomy places the organism in Eukaryota, Metazoa, Chordata, Chondrichthyes, Rajiformes, Rajidae. The transcript is spliced from 3 exons. The record is from RefSeq and is a predicted model, not a curated record.
AAUCAUGGGAUUUGUCAAAGGUCAUUCGAGAAUACAAAAAAGUGAACGGGGUGCCAGGUAGCCGGGAGAGUGGGGUGUAACAGCAAGAGAGAGGGGGCAGAUGCAAGUGGGAGACAGGGAGAGAUGGUGAGAAGUGGGGAGAGAGGGGAGAGAGGUUUCAGUUAGACAGACAACCACUGGUAAAGCCAUGGCUCAAUGCUUCUAGGAGAGUCAAGAAAAUGUCCUCAAUCGAGAGAAUGCAACUUCAGAACCCCCUCUCGGCUGGCGGUGGA